Molecule: ribosomal RNA, 384 nt
Filed under: Triticum aestivum (bread wheat)
Lineage: Eukaryota; Viridiplantae; Streptophyta; Magnoliopsida; Poales; Poaceae
Description: partial small subunit ribosomal RNA
Source: RNAcentral
AUGUGUUUACGUGGAUGUUGUUUUACUCCAUUUUACUCAGUAUAUGAGAUUUUCUGCCACAUGGAGCAAUGUGAUCAGGAGGAGCUGUUUUUCCUCCUUCAGUCCUUAAGUGCAUUUAAAUAUGGCCGUUCUGAGUAUAUAUAUGAUACUUCAACGUCAAGGCUGAGUUUCUCUAAACACAAAAGCCUGCUACGGUGUGGAACCGAUCAUGGUGCGGCGUUCUACACCUAUAUUGUGUUAUUACCCAGUUAUACGCUGAGGUGUUAUUUUUUCUCUCAACGGCUCUCAGAUGUACCCAACAAAGAUAUGCUUGCAUCAGUUGAUCGUACUCCGUCGUCAAAAUGGCCCAAAGUAGCAAGAUUAUGCGUUACUGCUUUGUCUUAA